Molecule: long non-coding RNA, 4704 nt
Filed under: Phoenix dactylifera (date palm)
Lineage: Eukaryota; Viridiplantae; Streptophyta; Magnoliopsida; Arecales; Arecaceae
Description: long non-coding RNA (PDAC_LNC004371)
Source: RNAcentral
GGUGAGGGUAUGGGUGAGUUAUCAUUGGCUGACAGGGCAACAAUCGCUAAUAUGUCUCCUGAGUAUGGAGCAACCAUGGGUUUCUGUCCUGUAGAUCAUGUCACUCUGCAAUAUCUCAAACUGACAGGAAGAAGUGAUGAAACUGUAGCAAUGAUUGAGUCCUAUCUGCGAGCUAACAAGAUGUUUGUUGAUUAUAGGAGCCUCAAGUAGAAAGAGUUUAUUCAUCUUAUCUAGAGUUGGACCUCACAGAUGUUGAGCCCUGUGUUUCAGGUCCAAAGAGACCGCACGACCGAGUUCCUCUGAAAGAAAUGAAGGCAGACUGGCAUUCUUGUCUCGACAAUAAAGUUGGAUUCAAGGGCUUUGCCGUGCCAAAAGAUUCACAGGACAAAGUUGUGAAGUUCUCUUUUCAUGGACAACCUGCAGAGCUCAGACAUGGUAGUGUUGUUAUAGCAGCUAUUACGAGCUGCACAAACACCUCCAAUCCCAGUGUCAUGCUGGGUGCUGGUCUUGUUGCAAAGAAAGCUUGUGAAUUGGGUCUUGAGGUUAAGCCAUGGAUAAGUCUUGCCCCAGGAUCUGGAGUUGUUACCAAGUAACUACUUGUAUAGGAAACUCUGGAGAUCUUGAUGAGUCUGUUGCUGCUGCUGUCUCUGAAAAUGAUAUUGUUGCUGCUGCAGUGCUUUCUGGAAAUCGGAACUUUGAGGGCCGAGUGCAUCCCCUAACUCGAGCUAAUUAUCUUGCUUCACCUCCACUUGUUGUAGCAUAUGCUCUUGCAGGCACGGUUGACAUUGAUUUCGAGAAGGAGCCAAUUGGAAUAGGAAAGGAUGGGAAGAGUGUGUACUUCAAGGACAUAUGGCCAUCCACUGAAGAAAUUGCAGAGGUUGUUCAAUCAAGUGUGUUGCCAGACAUGUUUAAGAGCACUUAUGAGGCAAUCACAAAGGGCAAUCCAAUGUGGAACCAACUAUCGGUCCCAGCCACAAAUUUAUACUCAUGGGACCCUAAUUCUACCUACAUUCAUGAGCCCCUACUUCAAAAAUAUGACAAUGACUCCACCUGGACCUCAUGGGUGAAAAAUGCAUACUGCUUACUGAACUUCGGUGACAGCAUUACAACAGACCACAUUUCACCAGCAGGGAGCAUCCACAAGGACAGCCCAGCUGCAAAAUACCUACUUGAGCGUGGUGUGGACCGCAAAGACUUCAAUUCAUAUGGCAGUCGCCGUGGCAAUGAUGAAGUAAUGGCAAGGGGAACCUUUGCUAACAUUCGCCUUGUAAAUAAACUCUUGAAGGGAGAAGUGGGCCCAAAGACAAUUCACAUUCCGACAGGGGAGAAACUUUAUGUGUUUGAUGUGGCAAUGAGAUAUAAGGCUGAUGGACAUGACACCAUAGUUUUGGCUGGAGCAGAAUAUGGGAGUGCUCUCGGGACUGGGCUGCCAAGGGCCCUAUGCUGUUGGGUGUGAAAGCUGUGAUUGCUAAAAGCUUUGAGAGAAUCCACCGUAGCAAUUUAGUUGGCAUGGGUGUUAUCCCACUGUGUUUUAAACCUGGUCAGGAUGCUGACUCACUAGGUCUGACAGGUCAUGAGCGGUAUACAAUUGACCUUCCGAGCAACAUAAAUGAAAUACGACCAGGUCAGGAUGUUACUGUUGUCACAGAUGCUGGGAAAUCUUUCACCUGUACAGUACGUUUUGACACAGGCUAAUCUUCUUCAGUACCUUAGAAGACAACCAGUUGAUCAAUUAAAGUUACAAUUUGAUUGUUAACUCCAUUUCUAGCUUAAUCUCAGACUAACUUCAAUAUGCGGUAGAUUAUUCCAUAAGGAGUUCUUUUACUACACAUACUACGAAGACAUUUUCUGAAAACAACAGCAGCAGAAAAGGCAGCAAACCACGAAAACUCCCCACCUGACCCAAAAAAGGUGGGGUGGUGGGGGAGGGGGCAGGGGGUGGGUUGGCGAGUUACAGAUCGAUUUACCUCUUUAGGCCAACCUCUUUUAACUAAUUGCCAAUGGGAAACCAAGAAUUAUUUUGACAAAUUGGAUAGGUUAGGGUUUUCUGGCUGGGCUCUUGUUUGGGCUGCUUUCCUUUGACAAAGUGUACCCAAACGAUUUCCUGGCAGACCUUGUUUGUCUUUCAUUAAUCUUUUUUUAAUAUGAAUAAGUCAAGGUCUUUUUUGCUUGGAAUGCAAGGUGAGGCUUUAAUCUACCUCCAUCUAACUGUAUUUACCUAUCUUUUUGAAUAAGGUCUCUGGUGCUACCUCCCUCCUUUCAUGGGAGACUUGAGUAUUUACAAGUCAGUGAACAUACUGUUUGCAAUUUACAUGCAAACUAUUGGAGAUUUGGAGUCUUUUUUUUGUGUGGCAAUGCGAAAUUUCUUUAUAGAUUAAGAAUACAACUAUUCUGCAAAUUAAUUAUUUUUUUGUGUUCAGAUGUAUUUUAUUUGGCACUAUAUUUUGGCAUUAAAUUUAUGCAAUAGUUAGCACUUUUUUUCAAGAGCACUAUUAUUAAUUUUUUACAUUGUGCUGAAAACAUCAAAAAUCUUCACAUUAGAAGGAAAUUUAUCAAAUUAACUGAUUAAGUAACAUUUUAAAAUAACCUUUCCAUAGAGAUAAUUUGCUUGUUUCCUUGUUUCAUAAUUUACUCCAUGCUCGUGCUUCUUCACUGGAAUAAUAAAACAAGAUUUAGUUCUAUGUUUGUAGUUUGUUUUAAGUGGCUAAUGCUUUAUUUAUCUUAUUUGGCAGCCCAUGAGCAUGGUUUUACCUGGUGUUGUGGGGUUCAAGUUGUCUGGGAAAUUACGCGAUGGGGUCACAGCAACUGACCUAGUAUUGACUGUAACACAAAUGCUGAGAAAGCAUGGUGUCGUCGGCAAGUUUGUUGAGUUCUACGGUAGAUAUCAUUUCUUACUCAUCGAUUUAUUAGCACUAAUUCAGCACCAUCCUUUUCUGAAUCCUAAAACCUCAUUAUAUAGGUGAGGGUAUGGGUGAGUUAUCAUUGGCUGACAGGGCAACAAUCGCUAAUAUGUCUCCUGAGUAUGGAGCAACCAUGGGUUUCUUUCCUGUAGAUCAUGUCACUCUGCAAUAUCUCAAACUGACAGGAAGAAGUGAUGAAACUGUGAGUAUUUCAAAGUUCUUGGUGGAACCUGGUGUAUUUCUUCUGAUUUACUGCACUGUCAGUUUUUACUCAACGCUUGUGAUAAAGAGGAAAUUGCUUGUCUUUCCAUUUUCACAACUUUUUGGAAAAUAUUCUGGGUGAAAAAAAGAAACAAAGAAGUGCAGAGAAAUUCCUUCAUGUUUUAUGGUCUAUUACAUCCUUGUUAAUCUAGUUUUGUUAUUGUGUGCAUCAAAGAAGUUAAAUAUCUUUAACCAAAUUUUCUAUAUUUUUUGGUGGGAGUUUUCCAUUAUUUUGUAGCAAGUUCUGAAUAUAGAACCAUCUAAGCGAGGCUGGUUUACUAAAUAGAAACCUUUUCUUUCAAUUAAUGUAUAUAGGUAGCAAUGAUUGAGUCCUAUCUGCGAGCUAACAAGAUGUUUGUUGAUUAUAGAGAGGUAAGCCUUUCUUUUUAAGAAAUUAUACAUAUAAGUUUUAAGAGUUGCAUGACUGAUGUGUUUUUUGCGAGUCAGCCUCAAGUAGAAAGAGUUUAUUCAUCUUAUCUAGAGUUGGACCUCACAGAUGUUGAGCCCUGUGUUUCAGGUCCAAAGAGGUAAUCUGCAUGCAUAGUAUUUCCUGCUGUCAAUAGUUCAUCUAUAGUUUCGUUCCUGAUUUGUCUCUGAAGUUUCUUCUACUAAUAUCUAUGACAGACCGCACGACCGAGUUCCUCUGAAAGAAAUGAAGGCAGACUGGCAUUCUUGUCUCGACAAUAAAGUUGGAUUCAAGGUGAUGAGUGUGAACUACAUUGUAGAUUGUUUUCUUCCAACUGCAGCUAGGGUUUCUAUCCAUACCAGAAUCUGUAGUUCUAUACAAAUUGAGUAUACCAAUCAUGGUAUGCUGUACCGGUCAGUAUCGGGCAUACUGUUCCCGUACCGAUGGGUACCGGUAUCGGUACGCCAAUGUUGGUACGUCUGGCGUACCACGUACCAUACCGUACCGACACUCGGUACGCCUAUACUAGUGCGGCGUUGGUACGGGGUUCGGUACUGGUACAGCGAAUCUUGAUACCAAUGAUAAUUUUUAUGCUGGAAGUCUUGUACAUAUAGAUUAAUGCAUUAUGCGGCCUUGACCACUACUUCAUGUAGUCUUUGUUACACAUCGGCUGCUUAUAAUUUCGCUAGGUUUCAUGCUAUCGGCCGAUUUUAGCAUAUAAUCCUAAAUUCCUAAUUGUUGCACCAUAUCUAAUGAUAUUCUGUACUUUUUUAAAUCAAUUUUGUAGAUAUAAACCUGGAACUCAGAUUGAAUUUUAUGCCUUAUCAUAAUUUUAACAUGGUACAUAUUGAAGUCAGAUUGUCGACUCAUAUGCAAUGCUAAGGAACUUGGGUGCAUGUUUACUUGAUUUUAGUUCAGUUGUAAUCCAUGUGGUUUACAUAUCGUAGUCACUGAGCACUUGACUUUGUUAUUGUCAGGGCUUUGCCGUGCCAAAAGAUUCACAGGACAAAGUUGUGAAGUUCUCUUUUCAUGGACAACCUGCAGAGCUCAGACAUGGUAGUGUUGUUAUAGCAGCUAUUACGAGCUGCACAAACACCUCCAAUCCCAGUGUCAUGCUGGGUGCUGGUCUUGUUGCAA